This 460-nucleotide ribosomal RNA is filed under the name uncultured bacterium. Its description in RNAcentral is "partial 16S ribosomal RNA". It matches the Rfam family "Bacterial small subunit ribosomal RNA", at positions 338 to 795 of the family's 1533-position model. The record is from RNAcentral.
CCUACGGGUGGCAGCAGUGAGGAAUAUUGGUCAAUGGACGAGAGUCUGAACCAGCCAAGUAGCGUGAAGGAUGACUGCCCUAUGGGUUGUAAACUUCUUUUGUACGAGGGUAAACGCAGAUACGCGUAUCUGUCUGAAAGUAUCGUACGAAUAAGGAUCGGCUAACUCCGUGCCAGCAGCCGCGGUAAUACGGAGGAUUCAAGCGUGAUCCGGAUUUAUUGGGUUUAAAGGUUGCGUAGGCGGUCGGAUAAGUUAGAGGUGAAAUCCCGAGGCUCAACUUCGGAAUUGCCUCUGAUACUGUUCGGCUAGAGAGUAGUUGCGGUAGGCGGAAUGUAUGGUGUAGUGGUGAAAUGCUUAGAGAUCAUACAGAACACCGAUUGCGAAGGCAGCUUACCAAGCUACUUCUGACGUUGAGGCACGAAAGCGUGGGGAGCAAACAGGAUUAGAUACCCUUGUAGUC